RNAcentral lists this ribosomal RNA (400 nucleotides) under uncultured bacterium. RNAcentral's name for it is "bacterial SSU rRNA". It matches the Rfam family "Bacterial small subunit ribosomal RNA", at positions 355 to 752 of the family's 1533-position model. The record is from RNAcentral.
UGGGGAAUAUUGGUCAAUGGGCGAAAGCCUGAACCAGCAAUGCCGCGUGAGUGAUGAAGGCCUUCGGGUUGUAAAGCUCUGUCAGUGGGAACGAAUAAACCGAUUAAUAACCGGCGAUGACGGUACCCACAAAGGAAGCACCGGCUAACUCUGUGCCAGCAGCCGCGGUAAUACAGAGGGUGCAAGCGUUGUUCGGAAUUACUGGGCGUAAAGCGCGUGUAGGCGGUCUUGUAAGUCGGACGUGAAAUCCCUUGGCUUAACCAAGGAACUGCGUUCGAAACUACUCGACUAGAGUAUCGGAGGGGAUGGUAGAAUUCCUGGUGUAGAGGUGAAAUUCGUAGAUAUCAGGAGGAAUACCUGUGGCGAAGGCGACCAUCUGGAAGAUUACUGACGCUGAGAC